This is a long non-coding RNA of Lates calcarifer (barramundi perch), 969 nucleotides long. RefSeq lists it as uncharacterized. NCBI's taxonomy places the organism in Eukaryota, Metazoa, Chordata, Actinopteri, Centropomidae. The record is from RefSeq and is a predicted model, not a curated record. The transcript has 4 exons.
CAUGAAUGUGGACACAACGUGAGCGUGAGAACCACUGCUGCACUACUGAGGCAAAAAAGAUCACGGAACUGACAAAGGAGCCACAUCUGUUUCGCCAUCUUGAGUAAAUCUUGAGACUGAGACUUGUAAAAGGUCGCAGCAGAUGUUCAGGCAAACUGGAGGUGAAGUCCAGUGAGUCCUUUGCUUCAGUGUGUGACUGUUUCUUCACCUGAGCUGCAGAGGGUCGUGGGAGGCUGGAGUCAAUCCCGUACAGCAGAUCGCCAAGUCAUUUGCAAAGCUGAGACAAACAACCAUUCACACCUAUGGACCUGCAUGUCUUUAGACUAUGAGAGGAAGCCCGAGCACCCAGGCACAGGGAGGACAUGCAGACUCCACACAUAAAAGCUGUAGGCUAAUAGGGGUCUGAACACAGAACUUUCUUGCUGGGAGGCAACAGUGCUAACCACUACACCACCAUGUCACCCUACUAAGAAACCUGGCACGGUUUUUCUCUGACUGUGAUGGAUCUGAGUCUGCACUGAUGGACUGUGGAUCUGCAAAGCUGUGGUUUUCCUCCUCUACUGUUGAGGUGGUCUGUACAGAUGUAAAGUCUCUGUGCCGUGUCUCCUCAGGGCAGCAGAGGGAAGCAGGCAAGAACUGAGGAUAUGAAGUCGGAAUGUUCAAACCUGAAUGGUUCUCAUCCUGGAGUGAGAUUCUUAUGGUCUACAUUAUAUUAGUGUUUACAUCAUUAAAAAUGAAAUGUAUUUAUUGUAUGCUGGGAUGAAAAUGAUGAAGAAUUAUUACGUUUUCAUUUCAUUCAACUUUUCCUGAGACUUUUACAUAGCUAUAAUAGUACUAACAUGUUCAUCAGUCUACCAUAAUGUGAGGGUCUGUUCUAAUAAAGGUACAUGGAUUGCUUAAGCAUUGACACAUUAUUCACUGUAUUUCCAGACCUGGACAGAAACUGUGAUUUGUAUGUAGAAUAUGAAG